GAUGGACGCUGGCGGCGUGCCUAAUACAUGCAAGUCGAGCGAACGGACGAGAAGCUUGCUUCUCUGAUGUUAGCGGCGGACGGGUGAGUAACACGUGGAUAACCUACCUAUAAGACUGGGAUAACUUCGGGAAACCGGAGCCAAUACCGGAUGAUAUUUUGAACCGCAUGGUUCAAAAGUGAAAGACGGUCUUGCUGUCACUUAUAGAUGGAUCCGCGCUGCAUUAGCUAGUUGGUAAGGUAACGGCUUACCAAGGCAACGAUGCAUAGCCGACCUGAGAGGGUGAUCGGCCACACUGGAACUGAGACACGGUCCAGACUCCUACGGGAGGCAGCAGUAGGGAAUCUUCCGCAAUGGGCGAAAGCCUGACGGAGCAACGCCGCGUGAGUGAUGAAGGUCUUCGGAUCGUAAAACUCUGUUAUUAGGGAAGAACAUAUGUGUAAGUAACUGUGCACAUCUUGACGGUACCUAAUCAGAAAGCCACGGCUAACUACGUG
RNAcentral lists this ribosomal RNA (497 nucleotides) under uncultured bacterium. RNAcentral describes it as "partial 16S ribosomal RNA". It matches the Rfam family "Bacterial small subunit ribosomal RNA", at positions 28 to 507 of the family's 1533-position model. The record is from RNAcentral.